This is a long non-coding RNA of Astatotilapia calliptera (eastern happy), 941 nucleotides long. The record is from Ensembl. Lineage: Eukaryota; Metazoa; Chordata; Actinopteri; Cichliformes; Cichlidae.
CGCAUGCGCAGACAGAGUGUGCGAGCGGCGGGCCUUGACCUUUCGGGAAAAAAACUCACGGACGGUGACAGCGAGGCGGAUAACAGUCUUCAGUACCUGCUGGACUUUGAAGCUGUGGAUUCUGGGACUGUUAGAAAAGAGGCAGCGGUGAGACCUCGGGUCAUCCAGCUGGAGAGCCUGACCAGGAGGAGUCGAACAUUAACUCAGCUCUUCCAGGGCACCCUGCAGACUCGGCUGUUGGCAUCGGCGAGGGAUGACGUGAACGCCAAACUGGAGUCCAUCACAGGUCAACUGCAGCUCCUUGUCUCAGAGUGGGAGGGAUUUGAAGCACAAAGGGAGGAACUUGUCGUUUGGUUGGCUUAUAUGGAUGUCCGCCUGAGUGAGGUUGACCAGCUGACAGGAAACACCAGUGCAAAAACUGAAACAACUGCAGGUGUGGGCUUGUUUUGAUAUGACAUAUAUUUGAUAUGAAACAUACGUCAGAGACAUUAUCCUAAACUGGACUAACAAAGGACCAUGAGUACAACAUGAAAUGUACAUUACAUGGUGUAAUGCUAAAGUUCAUUGAUCAUUUUAAUCAUAAACUUGUUGAAAUAUUUUUACUGAACAUGCAAACAUCUGCUGAUGAAAAUGUGUUGAUUUAUUGGUCUGUUAUGAAGCUGUUGCUAUUUCUAAUGUGUUUUAUCACUUUCUGAUGUUUUAUUAAUUAAACAAUACAUGUAUUAUUUGUUGUGUUAUCUGUAGCUAUAGUAUUUAUAUAUAUUUAUUUAUAGUAUAGCAAAUAUAUUUAAUUAUUACUGUUUAAAACACUAAUAUGUGACAUGUAUUAGUAGUGAUGUUAUGCUGAGGGUUAAAAUGCCUUUUUGUGUUUUGGUAUACUACAAAAUGACAAUAAACCAUUAAUAUAUGUCUAUGCUGUGCUCGUAUUUAUUUUACCCUAC